RNAcentral lists this ribosomal RNA (285 nucleotides) under Priestia aryabhattai. RNAcentral describes it as "Bacillus aryabhattai partial 16S ribosomal RNA". It matches the Rfam family "Bacterial small subunit ribosomal RNA", at positions 1256 to 1533 of the family's 1533-position model. Lineage: Bacteria; Bacillati; Bacillota; Bacilli; Caryophanales; Bacillaceae. The record is from RNAcentral.
CGCGAGGUCAAGCCAAUCCCAUAAAACCAUUCUCAGUUCGGAUUGUAGGCUGCAACUCGCCUACAUGAAGCUGGAAUCGCUAGUAAUCGCGGAUCAGCAUGCCGCGGUGAAUACGUUCCCGGGCCUUGUACACACCGCCCGUCACACCACGAGAGUUUGUAACACCCGAAGUCGGUGGAGUAACCGUAAGGAGCUAGCCGCCUAAGGUGGGACAGAUGAUUGGGGUGAAGUCGUAACAAGGUAGCCGUAUCGGAAGGUGCGGCUGGAUCACCUCCUUUCUAAGGA